CGCGUAGGCGGCGCGGUAAGUCACUUGUGAAAUCUCUGAGCUUAACUCAGAACGGCCAAGUGAUACUGCAGUGCUAGAGUGUGGAAGGGGCAAUCGGAAUUCUUGGUGUAGCGGUGAAAUGCGUAGAUAUCAAGAGGAACACCUGAGGUGAAGACGGGUCGCUGGGCCAACACUGACGCUGAGGCGCGAAAGCCAGGGAGCAAACG
This 206-nucleotide ribosomal RNA is filed under the name uncultured bacterium. RNAcentral's name for it is "partial 16S ribosomal RNA". It matches the Rfam family "Bacterial small subunit ribosomal RNA", at positions 568 to 774 of the family's 1533-position model. The record is from RNAcentral.